This 497-nucleotide ribosomal RNA is filed under the name uncultured bacterium. Its description in RNAcentral is "partial 16S ribosomal RNA". It matches the Rfam family "Bacterial small subunit ribosomal RNA", at positions 28 to 507 of the family's 1533-position model. The record is from RNAcentral.
GAUGAACGCUGGCGGCGUGCCUAAUACAUGCAAGUCGAGCGAACAGACGAGGAGCUUGCUCCUCUGACGUUAGCGGCGGACGGGUGAGUAACACGUGGAUCACCUACCUAUAAUACUGGGAUAACUUCGGGAAACCGGAGCUAAUACCGGCUCAUAUAUUGAACCGCAUGGUUCAAUAGUGAAAGACGGUUUUGCUGUCACUUAUAGAUGGAUCCGCGCCGCAUUAGCUAGUUGGUAAGGUAACGGCUUACCAAGGCGACGAUGCGUAGCCGACCUGAGAGGGUGAUCGGCCACACUGGAACUGAGACACGGUCCAGACUCCUACGGGAGGCAGCAGUAGGGAAUCUUCCGCAAUGGGCGAAAGCUUGACGGAGCAACGCCGCGUGAGUGAUGAAGGUCUUCGGAUCGUAAAGCUCUGUUAUUAGGGAAGAACAAAUGUGUAAGUAACUAUGCACGUCUUGACGGUACCUAAUCAGAAAGCCACGGCUAACUACGUG